GACGAACGCUGGCGGCGUGCUUAACACAUGCAAGUCGAACGGAAAGGCCCUGCUUUUGUGGGUUGCUCGAGUGGCGAACGUGUGAGUAACACGUGAGUAACCUGCCCUUGACUUUGGGAUAACUUCAGGAAACUGGGGCUAAUACCGGAUAGGAGCUCCUGCUGCAUGGUGGGGGUUGGAAAGUUUCGGCGGUUGGGGAUGGACUCGCGGCUUAUCAGAUUGGUGGUGGGGUAGUGGCUUACCAAGGCUUUGACGGGUAGCAGGCCUGAGAGGGUGACCGGCCACAUUGGGACUGAGAUACGGCCCAGACUCCUAUGGGAGGCAGAAGUGGGGAAGAUUGUACAACGGGCGGAAGCCUGAUGCAGCAACGCCGCGUGCGGGAUGACGGCCUUUGGGUUGUAAACCGCUUUCGCCUGUGACGAAGCGUGAGUGACGGUAAUGGGUAAAGAAGCACCGGCUAACUACGUG
Molecule: ribosomal RNA, 468 nt
Filed under: uncultured bacterium
Lineage: Bacteria
Description: partial 16S ribosomal RNA
Rfam family: Bacterial small subunit ribosomal RNA
Source: RNAcentral